RNAcentral lists this ribosomal RNA (482 nucleotides) under uncultured bacterium. RNAcentral describes it as "SSU rRNA". It matches the Rfam family "Bacterial small subunit ribosomal RNA", at positions 26 to 523 of the family's 1533-position model. The record is from RNAcentral.
AGGACGAACGCUGGCGGCGUGCUUAACACAUGCAAGUCGAACGGAAAGGCCCUUUCGGGGGUGCUCGAGUGGCGAACGGGUGAGUAACACGUGGGUGAUCUGCCCUGCACUUUGGGAUAAGCCUGGGAAACUGGGUCUAAUACCGGAUAGGACUACGAAUCGCAUGGUUUGUGGUGGAAAGCUUUUGCGGUGUGGGAUGGGCCCGCGGCCUAUCAGCUUGUUGGUGGGGUGAUGGCCUACCAAGGCGACGACGGGUAGCCGGCCUGAGAGGGUGUCCGGCCACACUGGGACUGAGAUACGGCCCAGACUCCUACGGGAGGCAGCAGUGGGGAAUAUUGCACAAUGGGCGCAAGCCUGAUGCAGCGACGCCGCGUGAGGGAUGACGGCCUUCGGUUGUAAACCUCUUCAGUACCGACGAAGCGCAAGUGACGGUAGGUACGAGAAGAAGCACCGGACCAACUACGUGCCAGCAGCCGCGGUAA